GACGAACGCUGGCGGCGUGCCUAAUACAUGCAAGUAGAACGCUGAAGCGAGGAGCUUGCUCUUCUUGGAUGAGUUGCGAACGGGUGAGUAACGCGUAGGUAACCUGCCUUGUAGCGGGGGAUAACUAUUGGAAACGAUAGCUAAUACCGCAUAACAAUGGAUGACACAUGUCAUUUAUUUGAAAGGGGCAAUUGCUCCACUACAAGAUGGACCUGCGUUGUAUUAGCUAGUAGGUGAGGUAAUGGCUCACCUAGGCGACGAUACAUAGCCGACCUGAGAGGGUGAUCGGCCACACUGGGACUGAGACACGGCCCAGACUCCUACGGGAGGCAGCAGUAGGGAAUCUUCGGCAAUGGGGGCAACCCUGACCGAGCAACGCCGCGUGAGUGAAGAAGGUUUUCGGAUCGUAAAGCUCUGUUGUAAGUCAAGAACGGGUGUGAGAGUGGAAAGUUCACGCUGUGGCGGUAGCUUACCAGAAAGGGACGGCUAACUACGUG
Molecule: ribosomal RNA, 497 nt
Filed under: uncultured bacterium
Lineage: Bacteria
Description: partial 16S ribosomal RNA
Rfam family: Bacterial small subunit ribosomal RNA
Source: RNAcentral